AAAUAGAUACCCAGGUAGUCCACGCCGUAAACGAUGAGUGCUAGGUGUUAGGGGGGUCCAACCCCUUAGUGCUGAAGUUAACACAUUAAGCACUCCGCCUGGGGAGUACGGCCGCAAGGUUGAAACUCAAAGGAAUUGACGGGGGCCCGCACAAGCAGUGGAGCAUGUGGUUUAAUUCGAAGCAACGCGAAGAACCUUACCAGGUCUUGACAUCCUCUGACAACCCUAGAGAUAGGGCGUUCCCCUUCGGGGGACAGAGUGACAGGUGGUGCAUGGUUGUCGUCAGCUCGUGUCGUGAGAUGUUGGGUUAAGUCCCGCAACGAGCGCAACCCUUGAUGUUAGUUGCCAGCAUUCAGUUGGGCACUCUAACGUGACUGCCGGUGACAAACCGGAGGAAGGUGGGGAUGACGUCAAAUCAUCAUGCCCCUUAUGACCUGGGCUACACACGUGCUACAAUGGGCGGUACAAAGGGCAGCGAAACCGCGAGGUGAAGCGAAUCCCAUAAAGCCGCUCUCAGUUCGGAUUGCAGGCUGC
Molecule: ribosomal RNA, 534 nt
Filed under: uncultured bacterium
Lineage: Bacteria
Description: bacterial SSU rRNA
Rfam family: Bacterial small subunit ribosomal RNA
Source: RNAcentral